RNAcentral lists this ribosomal RNA (279 nucleotides) under uncultured bacterium. Its description in RNAcentral is "partial 16S ribosomal RNA". It matches the Rfam family "Bacterial small subunit ribosomal RNA", at positions 506 to 784 of the family's 1533-position model. The record is from RNAcentral.
UGCUAGCCGCCGCGGUAAUACGGAGGGUGCGAGCGUUAAUCGGAAUUACUGGGCGUAAAGCGUGCGUAGGCGGUUAAUUAAGUCAGAUGUGAAAGCCCUGGGCUCAACCUGGGAAUUGCAUUUGAUACUGGUUAACUUGAGUAUGGGAGAGGGAAGUGGAAUUUCCGGUGUAGCGGUGAAAUGCGUAGAUAUCGGAAGGAACACCAGUGGCGAAGGCGACUUCCUGGACCAUUACUGACGCUGAGGUGCGAAAGCCAGGGUAGCAAACGGGAUUAGAUA